RNAcentral lists this unclassified non-coding RNA (485 nucleotides) under uncultured Glomus. RNAcentral's name for it is "SSU rRNA". It matches the Rfam family "Eukaryotic small subunit ribosomal RNA", at positions 569 to 1060 of the family's 1831-position model. Lineage: Eukaryota; Fungi; Glomeromycota; Glomeromycetes; Glomerales; Glomeraceae. The record is from RNAcentral.
AGCAGCCGCGGUAAUUCCAGCUCCAAUAGCGUAUAUUAAAGUUGCUGCAGUUAAAAAGCUCGUAGUUGAAUUUCGGGACUAAUAUGUCGGUCGUGCCUCGGUACGUACUGGUUUAUUGGUUUCUCCUUUCUGAAGAACCAUGAUGUCAUUUAUUUGGUGUCGUGGGGAAUCAGGACUGUUACUUUGAAAAAAUUAGAGUGUUUAAAGCAGGCUCACGCUUGAAUACAUUAGCAUGGAAUAAUGAAAUAGGACGUUUGAUUCUAUUUUGUUGGUUUCUAGGAUCGACGUAAUGAUUAAUAGGGAUAGUUGGGGGCAUUAGUAUUCAAUUGUCAGAGGUGAAAUUCUUGGAUUUAUUGAAGACUAACUACUGCGAAAGCAUUUGCCAAGGAUGUUUUCAUUAAUCAAGAACGAAAGUUAGGGGAUCGAAGACGAUCAGAUACCGUCGUAGUCUUAACCAUAAACUAUGCCGACNAGGGAUCGGAUGA